RNAcentral lists this transfer RNA (90 nucleotides) under Alphaproteobacteria bacterium. Its description in RNAcentral is "tRNA-Ser". It matches the Rfam family "tRNA". From Rfam's summary of the family: Transfer RNA (tRNA) molecules are approximately 80 nucleotides in length. Their secondary structure includes four short double-helical elements and three loops (D, anti-codon, and T loops). The record is from RNAcentral. Lineage: Bacteria; Pseudomonadati; Pseudomonadota; Alphaproteobacteria.
GGUAAGAUGGCAGAGUGGUCGAAUGCGGUUGACUCGAAAUCAAUUGUGCCCGUUAGGGUACCUGGGGUUCGAAUCCCUAUCUUACCGCCA